CUUUUGUGAAGUCUGGUGAUCAACUUACUGAUGUCUUCACUAAAGGGUUGAGUGGAAAGAUGUUUCAUCCUAAUUUGCUCAAGUUGGGCAUGUGUGAUAUCUAUGCACCAACUUGAGGCGGAGUAUU
Molecule: long non-coding RNA, 127 nt
Organism: Telopea speciosissima
Lineage: Eukaryota; Viridiplantae; Streptophyta; Magnoliopsida; Proteales; Proteaceae
Exons: 3
Source: RefSeq, a predicted model, not a curated record